AACGCGAAGAACCUUACCAGGGCUUGACAUCCUCUGUAAAAUGCAGAAAUGCAUUCCCCAUGGCAACAUGGCAGGGUGACAGGUGCUGCAUGGCUGUCGUCAGCUCGUGUCGUGAGAUGUUGGGUUAAGUCCCGCAACGAGCGCAACCCUCGUCGAGUGUUGCCAUCAUUUAGUUGGGCACUCACUCGAGACCGCCGUUGAUAAGACGGAGGAAGGUGGGGAUGACGUCAAGUCCGCAUGGCCCUUACGUCCUGGGCUACACACGUGCUACAAUGGCCGGUACAACGGGCAGCUAGUCCGCGAGGACAAGCUAAUCCCUUAAAACCGGUCUCAGUUCGGAUUGAAGGCUGCAACUCGCCUUCAUGAAGUCGGAAUCGCUAGUAACUGCAGAUCAGCUACGCUGCGGUGAAUACGUUCCCGGGCCUUGUA
This 429-nucleotide ribosomal RNA is filed under the name uncultured delta proteobacterium. Its description in RNAcentral is "bacterial SSU rRNA". It matches the Rfam family "Bacterial small subunit ribosomal RNA", at positions 958 to 1385 of the family's 1533-position model. Lineage: Bacteria; Deltaproteobacteria. RNAcentral also lists the same sequence under 1 other name. The record is from RNAcentral.